This is a long non-coding RNA of Bombus terrestris (buff-tailed bumblebee), 984 nucleotides long. RefSeq lists it as uncharacterized. The record is from RefSeq and is a predicted model, not a curated record. The transcript has 2 exons. NCBI's taxonomy places the organism in Eukaryota, Metazoa, Arthropoda, Insecta, Hymenoptera, Apidae.
ACAACCUUGUACCAGCCUGCGUGAGAGACUCCGAAGCGCGAUUACGUUUCGCGGUCUCGGCUUGCGUGCAGUUUCUUUUUUUCGUGCACUGAACACGGAAAGGAAAGAGUUCUCUGAAUGCGACAGAAUAAUGCAGCCGUGCUAUGCAAUGCUAAGUACAGAAGAUUCAAAGGAAACUUAAUAGAACGGAUUACCAUUUAAAUGGAAAGAACUAACAUUUGUACCUUAUUCGGAAUUAAGACCGUUAUCUUAUCUUAGCUUGGACAUAUCUAUUUCUAUUUCAUGUGCAAAUAUAUAUAUAUAUAUCGUAUCGUAUCGGGAGUGCAAUAUAUAAAAGAUAGUGUUAUCUAGAAUGUCGAAGUCAAUGUAAAAUUCGAUAGCGUUAUUAGCCAAAAUUGUUUUUACUUUUUGGAACGGAACGAUCGAGCAAAGGACACAUACAUCUUGCUGGAAUAGUACGCACCACGUGAGCAAAGAUUAUCCACUUUUGCGGUAAUUUGUGGCUGUUGAUGCGCAUGCUGUAUCGCGCAAGAUGGCCGCCAACUCGCGAUCGCUGAUUGGCGAUGGCGGAGCGGGUUAUUUGACCGGCGGUUGGUGGUUCCAGCACUGCCUGGUGCGAGUAAUUUUGAUCGUGAUUAUACUAAUUUCAUAGUAUGCCCCUUCUCGGUGGCUUAAGCAUUGGGUGAGUUCACACGAGCAGCAGUACAGGGCAAGAGUUGCCGUGCUAGCGAAAUCGAACAUCAUUUGUAAGAUUCCUUUCGACGUGUGUCAAAGUGAUUUUGUGUUUUCGAAUCUACGCCAGGUUAUGGAUAACAGUUCGCAGAAAAUUUCAUGUUGGUGUUCGUCAUUCGUGAGCUCAUGACGCAUUCUUGAUGGCGUUCUUCAGGAUCUGACGACGAACCAAGAGGAAAUGAUAGCCGUAUUGAUUCGAUGUUUUUGAAUUUAUCUAAUAAUAAACGUGUAUAUCUCUACCUUUUUCUCGUA